GAUCAACGCUGGCGGCGUGCCUCAGACAUGCAAGUCGAACGAUUAAAGCUCUCUUCGGAGAGUGUAUAGAGUGGCGCACGGGUGAGUAACACGUAAGUAAUCUACCCUCGAGUGGGGAAUAACGUCCGGAAACGGACGCUAAUACCGCAUAAUGCAGCGGCACCGCAAGGUGACAGUUGUUAAAGAUUUAUCGCUUGAGGAGGAGCUUGCGGCAGAUUAGCAGUUGGUAAGGUAAUGGCUUACCAAGGCUACGAUCUGUAACCGGUCUAAGAGGACGGUCGGUCACACUGACACUGAAUAACGGGUCAGACUCCUACGGGAGGCAGCAGUCGGGAAUUUUGGGCAAUGGGCGAAAGCCUGACCCAGCAACGCCGCGUGAAGGAUGAAGUAUUUCGGUAUGUAAACUUCGAAAGAAUAGGAAGAAUAAAUGACGGUACUAUUUAUAAGGUCCGGCUAACUACGUG
RNAcentral lists this ribosomal RNA (464 nucleotides) under uncultured bacterium. Its description in RNAcentral is "bacterial SSU rRNA". It matches the Rfam family "Bacterial small subunit ribosomal RNA", at positions 28 to 507 of the family's 1533-position model. The record is from RNAcentral.